This 67-nucleotide transfer RNA is filed under the name Eupolyphaga sinensis. Its description in RNAcentral is "tRNA-Val". The record is from RNAcentral. Lineage: Eukaryota; Metazoa; Arthropoda; Insecta; Blattodea; Corydiidae.
CAAAUCACUUUGAGGAGAAAAUUUCGUUUACAUUGAAAUUAUUGUCGUGCAAUUCGAUAUGAUUUGA